Molecule: transfer RNA, 72 nt
Filed under: Camelus bactrianus (Bactrian camel)
Lineage: Eukaryota; Metazoa; Chordata; Mammalia; Artiodactyla; Camelidae
Also listed under: 2 other names
Rfam family: tRNA
About the family: Transfer RNA (tRNA) molecules are approximately 80 nucleotides in length.
Source: Rfam by way of RNAcentral
GAAGCUAUAGCCCAGUGGUAGAGCAUGUGCUUAACAUGCGCGAGGUCCUGGGUUCAAUCCCCAGUACCUUAG